GACGAACGCUGGCGGCGUGCUUAACACAUGCAAGUCGAACGAUGAAGGAGAGCUUGCUCUCCGGAUUAGUGGCGAACGGGUGAGUAACACGUGACUACCCUGCCCCUUUCUCUGGGAUAACGCUCCGAAAGGAGUGCUAAUACCGGAUACGAACUCUGAACACAUGUUCGGAGUUGGAGAGUUUCUCGGAAAGGGAUGGAGUCGCGGCCUAUCAGCUUGUUGGUGAGGUAACGGCUCACCAAGGCGACGACGGGUAGCCGGCCUGAGAGGGCGACCGGCCACACUGGGACUGAGACACGGCCCAGACUCCUACGGGAGGCAGCAGUGGGGAAUAUUGCACAAUGGGCGAAAGCCUGAUGCAGCGACGCCGCGUGAGGGAUGAAGGUCUUCGGAUUGUAAACCUCUUUCAGUAGGGACGAAGCGAAAGUGACGGUACCUAAAGAAGAAGCACCGGCUAACUACGUGCCAGCCGCCGCCGUAA
Molecule: ribosomal RNA, 481 nt
Filed under: uncultured bacterium
Lineage: Bacteria
Description: partial 16S ribosomal RNA
Rfam family: Bacterial small subunit ribosomal RNA
Source: RNAcentral